RNAcentral lists this ribosomal RNA (505 nucleotides) under uncultured bacterium. RNAcentral's name for it is "partial 16S ribosomal RNA". It matches the Rfam family "Bacterial small subunit ribosomal RNA", at positions 28 to 507 of the family's 1533-position model. The record is from RNAcentral.
GACGAACGCUGGCGGCGUGCCUAAUACAUGCAAGUAGAACGCACAGUUUAUACCGUAGCUUGCUACACCAUAAACUGUGAGUUGCGAACGGGUGAGUAACGCGUAGGUAACCUGCCUGGUAGCGGGGGAUAACUAUUGGAAACGAUAGCUAAUACCGCAUAAUAUUAAUUAUUGCAUGAUAAUUGAUUGAAAGAUGCAAUUGCAUCACUACCAGAUGGACCUGCGUUGUAUUAGCUAGUAGGUGAGGUAACGGCUCACCUAGGCGACGAUACAUAGCCGACCUGAGAGGGUGAUCGGCCACACUGGGACUGAGACACGGCCCAGACUCCUACGGGAGGCAGCAGUAGGGAAUCUUCGGCAAUGGACGAGAGUCUGACCGAGCAACGCCGCGUGAGUGAAGAAGGUUUUCGGAUCGUAAAGCUCUGUUGUAAGAGAAGAACGGGUGUGAGAGUGGAAAGUUCACACUGUGACGGUAUCUUACCAGAAAGGGACGGCUAACUACGUG